UGUCGUCAGCUCGUGUUGUGAAAUGUUGGGUUAAGUCCCGCAACGAGCGCAACCCUUAUCCUUUGUUGCCAGCGGUCCGGCCGGGAACUCAAAGGAGACUGCCAGUGAUAAACUGGAGGAAGGUGGGGAUGACGUCAAGUCAUCAUGGCCCUUACGACCAGGGCUACACACGUGCUACAAUGGCGCAUACAAAGAGAAGCGACCUCGCGAGAGCAAGCGGACCUCAUAAAGUGCGUCGUAGUCCGGAUUGGAGUCUGCAACUCGACUCCAUGAAGUCGGAAUCGCUAGUAAUCGUGGAUCAGAAUGCCACGGUGAAUACGUUCCCGGGCCUUGUACACACCG
RNAcentral lists this ribosomal RNA (342 nucleotides) under Escherichia coli. Its description in RNAcentral is "bacterial SSU rRNA". It matches the Rfam family "Bacterial small subunit ribosomal RNA", at positions 1050 to 1392 of the family's 1533-position model. RNAcentral also lists the same sequence under 1 other name. Lineage: Bacteria; Pseudomonadati; Pseudomonadota; Gammaproteobacteria; Enterobacterales; Enterobacteriaceae. The record is from RNAcentral.